RNAcentral lists this ribosomal RNA (1252 nucleotides) under uncultured Enterococcus sp. RNAcentral describes it as "bacterial SSU rRNA". It matches the Rfam family "Bacterial small subunit ribosomal RNA", at positions 28 to 1253 of the family's 1533-position model. Lineage: Bacteria; Bacillati; Bacillota; Bacilli; Lactobacillales; Enterococcaceae. The record is from RNAcentral.
GACGAACGCUGGCGGCGUGCCUAAUACAUGCAAGUCGAACGCUUUUUCUUUCACCGGAGCUUGCUCCACCGAAAGAAAAGGAGUGGCGAACGGGUGAGUAACACGUGGGUAACCUGCCCAUCAGAAGGGGAUAACACUUGGAAACAGGUGCUAAUACCGUAUAACAAUCGAAACCGCAUGGUUUCGGUUUGAAAGGCGCUUUUGCGUCACUGAUGGAUGGACCCGCGGUGCAUUAGCUAGUUGGUGAGGUAACGGCUCACCAAGGCAACGAUGCAUAGCCGACCUGAGAGGGUGAUCGGCCACAUUGGGACUGAGACACGGCCCAAACUCCUACGGGAGGCAGCAGUAGGGAAUCUUCGGCAAUGGACGCAAGUCUGACCGAGCAACGCCGCGUGAGUGAAGAAGGUUUUCGGAUCGUAAAACUCUGUUGUUAGAGAAGAACAAGGAUGAGAGUAGAAUGUUCAUCCCUUGACGGUAUCUAACCAGAAAGCCACGGCUAACUACGUGCCAGCAGCCGCGGUAAUACGUAGGUGGCAAGCGUUGUCCGGAUUUAUUGGGCGUAAAGCGAGCGCAGGCGGUUUCUUAAGUCUGAUGUGAAAGCCCCCGGCUCAACCGGGGAGGGUCAUUGGAAACUGGGAAACUUGAGUGCAGAAGAGGAGAGUGGAAUUCCAUGUGUAGCGGUGAAAUGCGUAGAUAUAUGGAGGAACACCAGUGGCGAAGGCGGCUCUCUGGUCUGUAACUGACGCUGAGGCUCGAAAGCGUGGGGAGCAAACAGGAUUAGAUACCCUGGUAGUCCACGCCGUAAACGAUGAGUGCUAAGUGUUGGAGGGUUUCCGCCCUUCAGUGCUGCAGCUAACGCAUUAAGCACUCCGCCUGGGGAGUACGACCGCAAGGUUGAAACUCAAAGGAAUUGACGGGGGCCCGCACAAGCGGUGGAGCAUGUGGUUUAAUUCGAAGCAACGCGAAGAACCUUACCAGGUCUUGACAUCCUUUGACCACUCUAGAGAUAGAGCUUCCCCUUCGGGGGCAAAGUGACAGGUGGUGCAUGGUUGUCGUCAGCUCGUGUCGUGAGAUGUUGGGUUAAGUCCCGCAACGAGCGCAACCCUUAUUGUUAGUUGCCAUCAUUUAGUUGGGCACUCUAGCGAGACUGCCGGUGACAAACCGGAGGAAGGUGGGGAUGACGUCAAAUCAUCAUGCCCCUUAUGACCUGGGCUACACACGUGCUACAAUGGGAAGUACAACGAGUCGCGAA